This 73-nucleotide transfer RNA is filed under the name Anaerolineaceae bacterium. RNAcentral describes it as "tRNA-Arg". It matches the Rfam family "tRNA". Rfam says of the family: Transfer RNA (tRNA) molecules are approximately 80 nucleotides in length. Lineage: Bacteria; Bacillati; Chloroflexota; Anaerolineae; Anaerolineales; Anaerolineaceae. The record is from RNAcentral.
GUCCCUGUAGCGCAGCUGGAUAGCGUACUGGCCUCCGAAGCCAGGGGCCUGGGUUCGAAUCCCAGCAGGGAUA